GCUUCCGUCGGUAGAGGACAUCGGAUUAUCGUGGAGCACGAUGACUGGGACGAGCAGUUUGAGGAGGAAGAGCCCUUCCAACCGUCAAAGAAUUUGACAGAACAAUCCGGUCUUGUCAUUGAGCCGUAUGCCGACCUGCCACAGGCCUGCUACGACUUGGAAGAACCUGCUAUAUCAUCGGAUUUCAACCUAUCCGACAUCGCUGCCGAACUCGAGACGCACCCUGUCCUUGGACGUGAUGCCGACUGACCUGCGAAGUGGUCGUUCGCGUCUCCCGCCCGCAUUUAACGCUCCGUUGCCGAAAUCAGUGCCACCGAGUACCCAUUAAACAAACGCUGGACCUACAGCAUUGCGGAGGACCUUUAGUUGACGGUUUUUUAAUGGCCAGUGUACAUAUUUCAGUUCAUUCUUUAUUCAUUUGUGUGACUUGAAAUUUGGUUUAGUCACAAUUCAGUAUCUUCUUUGGUAAACGUUGUGUCGGGCGGUAAGAUACGUUCAGUCUUCUUCAUUUGUUCACAGCGUAGUCUUACUGUCGAAGUUUUGCUAAGCUGUUGGAGUUCUAUUGUCUGUUUUCCAAAAUAAACCGUGGAAACGUGGCCUAUCGAUCUGUUAACUCUAAAAAUUUUAAACAAGAGGUGUCAGAAAAUUUACCACAGGGAUAACUGGCUUUUGGCGGCCAAGCGUUCGUAGCGACGUCGCUUUUUGAUCCUUCGAUGUCGGCUCUUUCUAUCAUUGCGAUGCAACUGUCGCUCGCUAAUAGGGAACGUGAGCUGGGUUUAGACCGUCGUGAAACAAAUUAGUUUUAUCCUAUUGAUGACUGGUUGUUGCAAUGGUAAUCCUGCUAAGUACGAGAGGAACCGCAGGUUCGGACAUUUGGCACACGUGCUUGGUCGAGCGGCCAAUGGUGCGAAGCUACCAUCCGUGGGACUAUGACUGAACACCUCUAUAUCAGCAUCCCGUCCAGUUCUGCAACGAUACCUUGGCGCCUCCUUGUUGUUCGGCAAAAACACGCUUAGCUUCACCGCAGAGCCGUGCUAUGCCACACUGAUGGAGCCUUGCGCCGAACUAGCGAUGUAACUACGCUAGCUCGGCCGGCUUCUGGUCACACACCAGAUAAACGUGAAGGCGAGAAAUCGUCGGUAGACGACCUAAGUACCGGUCGGGGUAUCUGUUGAGACUCAUCCUUUGACCGGAAGAUUUGUCCGCAUUAGACGGACACGUCUUCCGGUUUUAAAGCUUUUUCUAUUACCCUUAUUACUGUUCAUUUUUCAAAUAAUACCUUUUAAUCUCUUAUUACUGUUCAUAUUUCAAAUAAUACCCUUUUAUUCUCUUAUUACUGUUCAUAUUUCAAAUAAUACCCUUUUAUUCACUUUGCUUUAAAAACCCAAUAAAAACCCAAUUAAAUAUUUGGGCUCUUCUUUGAGUUUCAGCAUCUCUAUUAGGAGAGAAAUGUCUGAGCAGCAAUCACCAAAAUGUGAAGCAAUUGCUUCAAGGUUCAUCGGACUGGGGGAUACCGAUGUGGGUAUUGCAAGAUUCGUCUUGUGCCCAGUGCUGCCGAAAUAACUGUCAUCGAGACGGUGGGAGUAAUUAUGACUCUCUUAAGGUAGCCAAGGUAGCUAAAUGUGGGGGACUGUGCUCUGGUCGGUGCCGCGAGAUGCUGCACCGGGUGCGGACCAGUGCCCGGGCCUGACAGUGAACGGUAAGGGCUGUGUCCUACCGAGGCGUGUUCUCGGAUGCGGCUUCGUUCGGCGCAUUACAGCCGACUCAGAACUGGCAUGGACCAGGGGAUUCCGACUGUCUUAUUGAAACAAAGCAGUGUCACGGCUGGUGAUCGGUGUUGACACAAUGUGAUUUCUGCCCAGUGCUCUGAAUGUCAAAGUGAAGAAAUUCAACCAAGCGCGGGUAAACGGCGGGAGUAACUAUGACUCUCUUAAGGUAGCCAAAUGACUCGUCAUCUAAUUAGUGACGCGCAUGAAUGGAUCGACGAGACUCCCACUGUCCCUAUCUACUGUCUAGCGAAACCACAGCCAAGGGAACGGGCUUGGCAGAAUUAGCGGGGAAAGAAGACCCUGUUGAGCUUGACUUUAUUCUGACACGGUGAGGAGACAUGAGAGGUGUAGCAUAAGUGGGAGCCAGCAAUGGCGCCAGUGAAAUACCACUACUUUCAUCGUUUCUUUACUAAUUCAGUAAUGGUUGCUUCGGCAGCUUCACUUCUCGCCCUAAACCUUUCAUUCGGCAUUGGCGAUCCGUUCUGAUAACAGUGUCAGGCGGGGAAUUUGACUGGGGCGGUACAUCUGUCAAACGGUAACGCAGGUGUCCUAAGGCAAGCUCAGUAAGGACAGAAACCUCGCGUAGAGCAAAAGGGCAGACGUUUGCUUGAUUACGAUUUUCAGUACGAAUACAGACCGUGAAAGCGAGGCUAAUCG
This 2426-nucleotide ribosomal RNA is filed under the name Hypsibius dujardini. RNAcentral describes it as "eukaryotic LSU rRNA". The stretch from base 1599 to 2426 matches the Rfam family "Eukaryotic large subunit ribosomal RNA", at positions 1891 to 2770 of the family's 3401-position model. The record is from RNAcentral. Lineage: Eukaryota; Metazoa; Tardigrada; Eutardigrada; Parachela; Hypsibiidae.